This 484-nucleotide ribosomal RNA is filed under the name uncultured bacterium. RNAcentral's name for it is "partial 16S ribosomal RNA". It matches the Rfam family "Bacterial small subunit ribosomal RNA", at positions 30 to 507 of the family's 1533-position model. The record is from RNAcentral.
AUUGAACGCUGGCGGCAGGCCUAACACAUGCAAGUCGAGCGGAUGAAGGGAGCUUGCUCCUGGAUUCAGCGGCGGACGGGUGAGUAAUGCCUAGGAAUCUGCCUGGUAGUGGGGGAUAACGUCCGGAAACGGGCGCUAAUACCGCAUACGUCCUGAGGGAGAAAGUGGGGGAUCUUCGGACCUCACGCUAUCAGAUGAGCCUAGGUCGGAUUAGCUAGUUGGUGGGGUAAAGGCCUACCAAGGCGACGAUCCGUAACUGGUCUGAGAGGAUGAUCAGUCACACUGGAACGGAGACACGGUCCAGACUCCUACGGGAGGCGGCAGUGGGGAAUAUUGGACAAUGGGCGAAAGCCUGAUCCAGCCAUGCCGCGUGUGUGAAGAAGGUCUUCGGAGUGUAAAGCACUUUAAGUUGGGAGGAAGGGCAGUAAGUUAAUACCUUGCUGUUUUGACGUUACCAACAGAAUAAGCACCGGCUAACUUCGUG